GACGUAGGGCGCGAGCGUUGUCCGGAUUUAUUGGGCGUAAAGAGCUCGUAGGCGGCUUGUCGCGUCGACCGUGAAAACCCGUGGCUCAACUACGGGCUGGCGGUCGAUACGGGCAGGCUGGAGUUCGGUAGGGGAGACUGGAAUUCCUGGUGUAGCAGUGAAAUGCGUAGAUAUCAGGAGGAAUACCGAUGGCGAAGGCAGGUCUCUGGGCUAUAACUGACGCUCAUGCACGAAAGCGUGGGGAGCAAACAGG
This 253-nucleotide ribosomal RNA is filed under the name uncultured bacterium. Its description in RNAcentral is "partial 16S ribosomal RNA". It matches the Rfam family "Bacterial small subunit ribosomal RNA", at positions 524 to 776 of the family's 1533-position model. The record is from RNAcentral.